RNAcentral lists this ribosomal RNA (442 nucleotides) under uncultured bacterium. RNAcentral's name for it is "partial 16S ribosomal RNA". It matches the Rfam family "Bacterial small subunit ribosomal RNA", at positions 338 to 795 of the family's 1533-position model. The record is from RNAcentral.
CCUACGGGAGGCAGCAGUAGGGAAUCUUUCACAAUGGGCGAAAGCCUGAUGGAGCAACGCCGCGUGCAGGAUGAAGGCCUUCGGGUUGUAAACUGCUUUUAUAAGCGAGAAAUAUGAUGGUAACUUAUGAAUAAGGAUCGGCUAACUACGUGCCAGCAGCCGCGGUCAUACGUAGGAUCCGAGCAUUAUCCGGAGUGACUGGGUGUAAAGAGUUGCGUAGGUGGCAUAAUAAGUAGCUAGUGAAAUCUGGUGGCUCAACCAUUCAGACUAUUAGCUAAACUGUUAAGCUCGAGACCGUUAGGGGUAACUGGAAUGUCUAGUGUAGGAGUGAAAUGCGUAGAUAUUAGAAGGAACACCAAUAGCGUAGGCAGGUUACUGGGACGGUUCUGACACUAAGGCACGAAAGCGUAGGGAGCAAACGGGAUUAGAUACCCCUGUAGUC